RNAcentral lists this ribosomal RNA (116 nucleotides) under Procavia capensis (Cape rock hyrax). Lineage: Eukaryota; Metazoa; Chordata; Mammalia; Hyracoidea; Procaviidae. The record is from RNAcentral.
UGGUAGGACCAUACCACCUGAACGCAACUGAUCUCAUCUGACUUUGGAAGCUAAGCAGUGUGGACCAUGAUUAUUACUUGAAUGGGAGACCUCCUUGAAAUAACAGGUGCUAUAGG